This 225-nucleotide ribosomal RNA is filed under the name uncultured Clostridium sp. RNAcentral's name for it is "partial 16S ribosomal RNA". It matches the Rfam family "Bacterial small subunit ribosomal RNA", at positions 567 to 792 of the family's 1533-position model. Lineage: Bacteria; Bacillati; Bacillota; Clostridia; Eubacteriales; Clostridiaceae. The record is from RNAcentral.
AGCGUAGGCGGACUUUUAAGUGAGAUGUGAAAUACCCGAGCUCAACUUGGGGGCUGCAUUUCAAACUGGAAGUCUAGAGUGCAGGAGAGGAGAGUGGAAUUCCUAGUGUAGCGGUGAAAUGCGUAGAGAUUAGGAAGAACACCAGUGGCGAAGGCGACUCUCUGGACUGUAACUGACGCUCAUAUGCGAAAGCGUGGGGAUCAAACAGGAUUAGAUACCCCAGUA